UACGAACUGUGCGAACGUUAUUCGGAAUCACUGGGCUUAAAGGGUGCGUAGGCGGCUGCCUAAGUCAGGUGUGAAAUCUCUCGGCUCAACCGGGAAACUGCGCUUGAUACUGGGCGGCUCGAGUGAGGUAGGGGUGUGUGGAACUUCCGGUGGAGCGGUGAAAUGUGUAGAUAUCGGGAGGAACACCAGUGGCGAAGGCGACUUCCUGGCCUGUUCUUGACGCUGAGGCGCGAAAGCUAGGGUAGCAAACGGG
This 253-nucleotide ribosomal RNA is filed under the name uncultured bacterium. Its description in RNAcentral is "partial 16S ribosomal RNA". It matches the Rfam family "Bacterial small subunit ribosomal RNA", at positions 524 to 776 of the family's 1533-position model. The record is from RNAcentral.